This 34693-nucleotide long non-coding RNA is filed under the name Triticum aestivum (bread wheat). Its description in RNAcentral is "long non-coding RNA (TAES_LNC007097)". The stretch from base 32789 to 32923 matches the Rfam family "MIR1120/MIR1122 microRNA precursor family". Lineage: Eukaryota; Viridiplantae; Streptophyta; Magnoliopsida; Poales; Poaceae. The record is from RNAcentral.
UUUUUUUUUGUUUGGGCAAUGCUCUAAUAAUGAUGAUCAUCACACUUCUAUUGAUUACAACAUAAGGAUUACAACUCGAAACUUAGAACAAGAUAUGACUCUAUAUGAAUGCCUCCGGGGGUGUACCGGGAUGGUGCAAUGAAUCAAGAGUGACAUGUAUGAAAAAUAAUGUAUGGUGGCUUUGCCACAAAUACGAUGUCAACUACAUGAUCAUGCAAUGGCAAUUAUGACAAAAGUAAUGUAUGUCAUGAAUAUGAUGAUGGAAGUUGCAUGGCAAUAUAUCUCGGAAUGGCUAUGGAAAUGCCAUGAUAGGUAGGUAUGGUGGUUGUUUUGAGGAAGAUAUAAGGAGGUUUAUGUGUGAUAGAGCGUAUCAUAUCACGGGGUUUGGAUGCACCGGCGAAGUUUGCACCAACUCUCAAGGUGAGAAAGGGCAAUGCACGGUACCGAAGAGGCUAGCAAAGGUGGAAAGGUAAAAGUGCGUAUAAUCCAUGGACUCAACAUUAGUCAAAAGAACUCAUAUACUUAUUGCAAAAAUUUGAAGUCAUCAAAAAUCAAGUACUACACGCAUGCUCCUAGGGGAUAGAUUGGUCGGAAAAGACCAUCGCUCGUCCCUGACCGCCACUCAUAAGGAUGCACAAGCCAGGUACACUUCAUGUUUCAAAUUUGUUACACAACUUUAACCAUAUGUGCAUGCUACAGGACUUGCUAACUUCAACACAAGCAUUCUUUAUAUUCAUAAUCACCCAACUAGCACGACUUUGAUAUCACUACCUCCAUAUCUCAAAACAAUUAUCAAGCAUCAAACUUUUCUUAGUAUUCAACACACUCAUAAGAAUUCUUACAAAUCUUGAAUACCAAGCAUAUUAGGAUUUUAAGCAAAUUACCAUGCUAUUUAAGACUCUCAAAAUAAUAUAAGUGAAGCAUGAGAGAUAAAUAGUUUCUUUAAAACAAAUCCACCACCGUUCUCUAAAAGAUCUAAGUGAAGCACUAGAGCAAAAAUUAUCAAGCUCAAAAGAUAUAAGUGAAGCACAAUGAGUAGUCGAAUAAUUGUGCAACUAUGUGAAGACUCUCUAACAUUAAAGGAUUUCAGAUCUUGAUACUUUAUUCAAACAGCAAGCAAAGCUAAAGAAAACUACGUUGCAAGGAUAGCACAACUCAUGUGAAGAAGCAAAAACUUAGGCUCAACCGAUACUAAUCGAUAGUUGUUGAAGAAGAAAGGUGGGAUGGCUACCGGGGCAUCCCCAAGCUUAGAUGCUUGAGACUUCUUGAAAUAUUAUCUUGGGGUGCCUUGGGCAUCCCCAAGCUUGAACUUUUGUGUCUCCUUAAUUCCUCUCAUAUCAUGGAUUCUCUUUUUAUCAAAAGCUUCAUUCACAACAAACUCAACAAGAACUCGUGAGAUCGGUUAGUAUAAACCAAUGCAAAUACUUAUCAUUUUCUACUGUAACAAAUCACUAAAAUUAUUAUUCAAAAUUAUCUACCAAAUGCCUCUGCAUAUUUAAUACUCCUAUCCUCAAAUAGAAUCAUUAAUCAAGCAAACAUAUGCAAACAAUGCAACCAUAACAGCAAUCUGCCAAAACAGUAUAGUCUGUAAAGAGUGCAAGAGUAUCAAUACUUCCCUAACUCCAAAAAUUAUCAACUAAAAUUCCUACUGUAAUAAAUUUAUCAGAGCUCAUUAUGCAAAAGGAUUCAACAUUAUACCACUCUCUGACUUUUCUAGGGAAUUUUUGCAACAGUGGUAAACUUUCUGUUUUCAAACAGCAACAUGUAUACUAGCAAAAUAAGCAUGCCAAAGGCUAUCCUUGACUUCUUUAUUGAAACUAAAGAUGCAAAACAUUAUUAUAACUAACAGCAAGCAAAAACUAACAAAAUAAAAUGACGCUCCAAGCAAAACACAUAUCAUGUGGUGAAUAAAAAUAUAGCUCCAAGUAAAGUUACCGAUGAACGAAGACGAAAGAGGGGAUGCCAUUCGGGGCAUCCCCAAGCUUAGGCUCUUGGUUAUCCUUUGAAUAUUACCUUGGGGUGCCUUGGGCAUCCCCACGCUUAGGCUCUUGCCACUCCUUAUUUCAUAGUCCAUCGAAUCUUUACCCAAAACUUGAAAACUUCACAACACAAAACUCAACAGAAAACUCGUAAGCUCCGUUAGUAUAAGAAAAUAAAACCACCACUUAGGUACUGUAAUGAACUCAUUCUAAAUUCUUAUUGGUGUAAUAUCUACUGUACUCCAACUUAUCUAUGGUUCAUACCACUUAAUACUACCCAUAGAUGCAUCAAAAUAAGCAAACAACACAUAGAAAACAGAAUCUGUCAAAAACAGAACAGUCUGUAGUAAUCUGUAUCAAACGUAUACUUCUGGAACUCCAAAACUCCUACCAAAUUAGGAAGUCCUAAGCAAUUCGUGUACCAAUCCAGAGAAAAAGAAUCAGAUCAUAAGCACGUUUCUGUGAAUUAACAAAACUAAUUUACUGGGUGCAAAAGUUUCUGAUUUUCAGCAGGAUCAACACAACUAUCACCGUAAGCUAUCCUAAAGGUCUUACUUGGCACUUUAUUGAAACAAAAACUAUAAAACAUGAUUACUACAGUAUUAUAAUCAUGUGAGCACACAAAAACAGUAAGGAUAAGUAUUGGAUUGUCUCCCAACAAGAGCUUUUCUUUAAUGCCUUUCUAGCUAGGCAUGAUGAUGAUAAUGAUGCUCACAUAAAAGAUAAGAAUUGUAACAUAACGGGAGCAUCAUGAAGCAUAUGACUAGCACUUUUAAGUAUAACCCACUUUCUAUGCAUAGGGAUUUUGUGAGCAAACAACUUAUGGGAACGAUAAUCAACUAGCAUAGGAAGGUAAAACAAGCAUAACUUCAAAACUUGAAGCACAUAGAGAGGAAACUUGAUAUUAUUGCAAUUCCUACAAGCAUAUGUUCCUCCCUCAUAAUAAUUUGCAGUAGCAUCAUGAAUGAAUUCAACAAUAUAACCAGCACCUAAAGCAUUCUUUUCAUGAUCUACUAGCAUAGAAAAUUUACUACUCUCCACAUAAGCAAAAUUCUUCUCAUGAAUAGUAGUGGGCGCAAACUCAAUAAAAUAAUUAUCAUGUGAGGCAUAAUCCGAUUGAAAACUAAAAUCAUGAUGACAAAUUUCAUGAUUAUCAUUAUUCCUAAUAGCAUACAAGUCAUCACAAUAAUCAUCAUAAAUAGCAACUUUGUUCUCAUAAUCAAUUGGAACCUCUUCCGAAAUAGUGGAAUCAUCACUAAAUAAAGUUGACACUUCCAAAUCCACUUUCAUAUUCAUCACAAUAAGAUUCAACAUCCUCCAAAAUAAUGGGAUCAUUACUUCCUAAAGUUGACACUCUUCCAAACCCACUUUCAUCAAUAUAACCAUCACAAAUAGGAGGCAUGCUAUCAUCAUAACAACUUUGCAUAUCAAAACUUCGGAUGCUAAAAAUAUCAUCUUCAUUAAACAUAGCAUCCCCAAGCUUUGGGACAAAUAUUAAUUCCAGCAAAUAUAUUCUCAAAUAUUUCAUCCUCAUCAAACAUAGCUUCCCCAAGCUUGGGCCCUUUCAUAUCAUAAGCAUAAUCACUCUCAUCAUUAAAAAUAUUGAUAGCACCAAUAGUAUAGCAAUUAUCAUCACAAUGAGUAAUAGGAGCAACAUCAUUUGGGAGGGAUACCUUUCUACCUUUGUUGCUCCUUCUUUUCUUUUUCUUCUUCACAUUAUGUGUGGGUUCAACCUUCCUCUUUGAGCUCCUUAUUGAUGAGAUUGGUUGGAUAGAAGACUCCUCCUCUUUACCUGAUUCAUCAUAAGAAAUAAUAGGAGGAUAUUGGGAAGUCUCUUCCCUUUCGUUAGCAUUCUCUUCAUCUUCUAUUUGUUUUCUUUUCUUUAUGUAACUGGCAAUAUAAGUAUUUUCAAUGCAAUUCACCGCAUAAUACAUAUAAAUCUUCUCUAGAUCAAAAUCAAGAAAUCUAUCAAGAUUAAAUUUUAGAAUACCCUCAGUUAUACGUUUCAUUUCUUCAUAACCCAAAAGAAGGCUAAGCUCUUUAUGAUGCUCAAGGGUAAUCAAAUUAUCACAAUAUUUGGAAACGACUUGAUCAUGAAACAAAUAGCAUUGGAACUUUAAAUGACCAUGUUCAUUGCAAAGUUCACAGGGGGCGCGAAACAUAUUGAAUCUUUCAGCACAUUCAUCUAGCUCUUCUGUUGACACCAGAUUUUGGCACGGUCAAUAACUUAUUUAAGAUGGCCUCAAAUGAAGAAGUGAUCUUCAUGAAAGAGUUCUGUAUUGUCGAUAUGAACAUCUUUGAAGUUUGGGUCAUCGCAGUCCGAUUUCAUCUCGAAGGCCGAAACUAUGCUCAAACUACUAAGAUCUUAUAUUCAGAGUACAGUUUGGCUGAUUAAGCACCCAAGACGACCUCAAAUAGGAAACUUAUAUACACUAUUUGUCUUUGUCUCAUCGAAACGAUUGAUUUUGACAUAAAAAUCAUUCCAAUCCGAGUUCGUAUGCAAAAGUUACAGCCAUCGGAAUACAGCCCUGUCAUGAGGCAAAAACUGGCGCGCCCCACCAGACACCCUGUCUGAUGGGUAGCGCGAGGGAUAGCCUGUUUUGCGCGACCGAUUUGACCCUCGAGAUGACCUCUGAUCAAAAAACGUUCAACAUAAACGUUGUUUGCCUCGUCGAAACGGUCAAGAUUGCUUUUGGGCUCGUUUCCAUCCAAGAUCGUUUACCACCACAAAAAAGACCCAUAAGGUGCAGCCAGUUUAAACCGAAUAGUUUUGGAAAGUUCGGACAAAACCAAUCCGAAUUUGACUAGGGUUUUGGACGUGAAUCCAAGCCUUUUCCUUGCACGGGAAGUCCAGCCGCCUCUUAUAUACCUAAGGGGUGAUGGCCGAUUGAACAACACACAAUCGAUCAAUCAAUCUAUCACUUUUUAUCUUUUAUCUUUUCUCCUUAACCCUAGUUCUUCUUCUUCCUCGUUCUUCGUUCGUUCUUCUUCAUCGCAGGGUGGCGAACCUUGAGGCCCUAGGGGCGAUCAGGUCGACCUAGGUCAGCGCAUAGCCGCCGCGCGCCCAGACGGGGUCCCUCCCGGGCGUGUGGGGUUUCGGGUCCCAAAAGCGUCGGCUUGCUGUCUUGCGUAUCGCGCUGGAAGUCGGCCUCCCGCGGUGUGAGUUGCGGAGCAUCUCCCUCGGCGCCGCGGGUACACAUCGACGUGUUCGUGUGACGCGUUCCAGCGUCAACACACUUUUUGGCGACUCCGCUGGGGACGAAGCUUUGAACGGUCUCCGGCCCGUUCUUGCUACGAAGAGAUCGUCAUCUAGGGUUUGCAAUCUACAAAGGUAAUAUGAAUACCCAAUUCACAUAUGUAGAUGCAAAUAAUGCAUAUGUUGUUGCUAGAUCAUCUAAUGAGCAUAAUGUAUCGGCUAGCCCUAGCUUUAUCAAUCAUGCAUCUAAUUAUGUGCAAGGGCCGAUGCAACAAAAUCUUCAUGCUUCAACUUUAUAUAAUUUUAGCAACAUGCAACAUAUGUAUCCCAACUCCCAUGCAUCGGCAAUCCCACAAAUCUAUAUGCCGAUGAACAACAUGAUGAGUUCGGUUAAUCAUGUUGAGACACCCCAUGAAGGAACUUCCAAUAGUAUGCAACAAAGUGUUUCAACUUUUUAUUCAUCGGCAAAUAACUUGCAGUAUGUUAAUCCAAACAUGCCGGUGGAUAGGGGAAUUGGCCAUGCCACUACUAGUUAUUCGGCCAAUUACCCUCAAACAUCGUAUGCUACACCUCAUGCUACGAAUUUUUCGGCACCAUACGCAAUUGUAGAUAUUCGUGAUUCGGCUCCGCACCUUCAUGCUCAUGGCCGAAUAAGUGAGAAUUCUACCAGAGCGCAUGUGUCUUUACCUAGUAACGUAGCAUAUCAUGUUGCCCCUGCACAAUUACAGAAUUUCGGCAACACACCAUUGCCAAAAGCGUCUCAAAGUAUUGGGGGGCAAUCCGAUGAAGAUUGGGCUGAAAUUGGUCGAAAAAAGCUUAAAGAUAGACUAGCUGCAAUGUUUGCUGAAUUUAGACAAGAACAAGCAACCUUGCGAAUCAAAGAAAGAAAGAGUGGUGAUUCGGAUAACAAAGUUAAUUCGGUUAUUAAAAAAGCAGAAUCAAAUAGUAUGUGUACCGAAUCUAUCAAAGAAAAAGAGGAUGCCAAGGCAUUGGAGAGUCAUUCAAAAGUGGAACAAAGUAUUAUUCAAGUGAUACAACCAUCAUGCUCUCCCAACGUAAUUGAAGAGGUAUGUCUAGCACUUGCCUAUCUUCCGAUUUGGUCGCAACUUUAUUGUCGAUGCUUCUAUAAGAAAAAUCCUCAUAAGUAAUUUUGAAAGACCAAUGAAGAAGAGUAUUUUACUUGUUAGCAACAAAAUUGUUAUAGACUAUAUCGGUCAACCCAUUGCACCAUUUAUAAAGACCGAUAAUGACUUAUUGUUGUGGCCAAAGCUUUCCCCGUUGCUUUAUCUAAAAUUCAUAUCUAAUUGGGUAGCUUUGCUUAUUUCUUACUUGGCUUACACUUGGUCUCAAUUGAGACAUGUAUGUUCUAACUAUUUUCGUUUUAGAAAUUUAAAGCCAAGGUUAAAAUCUUCUGAGCAAACCGAUGCAAGUAUAGUUUCUUAUCCAAUGACAUCGGUAAGAGAAUGCAAAAUAAAAUUCAUAGCCGAAUGGGGAGAUACAAAAUCUGAAUCAUUCGUUUGCUUAACUCCAAAGCCGUUCUCACACCAAGAUCGGCUAGAAAACAAGAAGUUUACCUUCAAUUCAAGCAUGUGUGACCAAAUAUUUGAUUUAUUGCUCAAAAAUAAUUACAUAAGAAUUCUUGAUCACCAUGUUGAGCCAUCUAUCCAAGGACGACUGUAUUGUAAGUUGCAUGAUUCGUUCAAGCAUAAUUUUGAGGAUUGCAACAUAUUCCGUCAAAUAGUUAAAUCGGCCAUUGAAAAAGGACGAUUGAAGUUUGUUAAAACACCAAGAGAUGACCAGUCUAUUCCGAUUGGUCCCGAUGGCAAAAAAAUUUUGCAUCGGCUGCUUCAAGCCGAUACAUUUAAAGAGAAGGUAAAAACUACAGGUGAUGGGAUCAAGCUUUCAAGUAAAGAAGUUGUUGAAGAGCAUAAUGACCAUAAUCUUGAGGGUGGGAAUUCCAUCGAAGCUACAAUGGAGAUACCAAGUACUGGGGGGCAGCAAGCAAAUCCAAAGAUCGGUGCAAGCACAACCAAAGAAAAUAAAGGCCGGUGUAAGCACAAAGGUAAAACGCCAAAAGUCACUUUCGCACAACUAUUGGAAAAAUAUCAAAAGAAGAGUGAAGAGAAGAAUGCUUAUCGGCCAAAUCAUGCAAAGAAACCAAGAUCACCCCCAAGGCGCAAAUAUGAGGAUUGGUAUUGGCAAAGUGAUAAUUUUAAUGCAACAUAUUCAUAUCCUUAUUUUGGGCCGCCAAUGCCAAUGCCGUGGAUGCCUCCCUAUGCUCAUAUAGAUACAUAUUCAUCAUGGGACAGGUAUGAUAAAAGGGCACAUUCUCCAUCUUAUUCUAGACCAUCUCACCAAUACUAUGCAGCUCCAAGGAGAUCAACAUUUGAACAAUCACGCGUCAAAGACCGUUUCAAUCAUAAAGAAUCGGUCUGGUGCACAAGGAAGAAUAAGGAGGUGGUUGAGCAAAUCUACCGCGUCAAAAGAGAUGGUCGUAAGAGUGCCACUUCAGAUAUGAUCUCAAAUGAAAAAGAGCCAAUUAAAGUGUUGACAUUGGCUACAAAAGGCAAUGAGGCAAGUCAAUCAAGUGCCAAAUCUGAAGGGAAGAAGUUGAGAGUGCACAAGGUAAAACCAGAAUUGCCAUUACUUCAAACAAAAUCGCAGCUGGGAUGCCCACGGGCUUAUCGUAUUGGGAAAAGAAGGAGUUGCAGAAGCUCAGUGCACAAGAACUUGAAAAGAGAAAUAUGGCAUGGGUUCCCAAAAGAAAUAUUCAAAAUAAGAAUUAUGUGCGAGCUUCCUUUACAAGGAGUGCGACAAAGGUGAAGAAGGAAAAGAGUGAAAGCUACGAAGGACCAAGCCGAAGGUUCCAACAUCUUCGGUCCACACAUUAUCCAUUUUCUUCAACAAUGUCGUUGAUGCCUAUGCCAUGGAAUUCUUCAUCAGGUAUGAUUGGUUACCCUCAAUGGGCUUAUUUUAAUCCAUGGAUAAAAUAUAAUUUCUUACAUCAUGAAAGGGUAUUACCAAAUCAUUAUAUGUUCGAUUAGCUUCACUUUUGUUGCUAAUCUAAAUGGCCGAUAUAUACUUAUCGUCCAAAGCACGUACAAAAUGGCCGAUGGAGUGUUGACAUCGCUCUUAGAACAAACUUCGUGCAAGUUAUUUUUUGGCACACAAGUUUUGCCGAAAAACAGGGGGGCAUGUGUUGACACCAGAUUUUGGCACGGUCAAUAACUUAUUUAAGAUGGCCUCAAAUGGAGAAGUGAUCUUCAUGAAAGAGUUCUGUAUUGUCGAUAUGAACAUCUUUGAAGUUUGGGUCAUUGCAGUCCGAUUUCAUCUCGAAGGCCGAAACUAUGCUCAAAGUACUAAGAUCUUAUAUUCAAAGUACAGUUUGGCUGAUUAAGCCCCAAGACGACCUCAAAUGGGAAACUUCUCUACACGGAUUGUCUUCGUCUCGUCGAAAUGAUCGAUUUUGAUAUAAAAACCGUUCCAAUCCGAGUUCGUAUGCAAAAGUUAGAGCCAUCGGAAUACAGCCCUGUCACGAAGCAAAAACUGGCGCGCCCCACCAGACACCCUGUCUGAUGGGUAGCGCGAGGGAUAGCCUAUUUUGCGCGACCGAUUUGACCCUCUAGAUGACCUCUGAUCAAAAAACAUUCAACAUAAAAGUUGUUCGUCUCGUCGAAAUGGUCAAGAUUUCUUUUGGGCUCGUUUCCAUCCGAGAUUGUUUACCACCACAAAAAAGACCCGCAAGGUGCAGCCAGUUUAAACCGAACAGUUUUGAAAAGUUCGGACAAAACCAAUCCGAAUUUGACUAGGGUUUUGGACGUGAAUCCAAGCCUUUUCCUUGCACGGGAAGUCCAGCCGCCUCUUAUAUACCUAAGGGGUGACGGCCGAUUGAACAACACACAAUCGAUCAAUCAAUCUACCACUUUUUAUCUUUUAUAUUUUCUACUUAACCCUAGUUCUUCUUCUUCCUCGUUCUUCGUUCGCUCCUCUUCAUUGCAGGGCGGCGAACCUCGAGGCCCUAGGGGCGAUCAGGUCGACUAGGGCAGCCCAUAGCCGCCGCGCGCCCAGACGGGGUCCCUCCCGGGCGUGUGGGGUUUCGGGUCCCAAAAGCGCCGGCUUGCUGUCUUGCGUAUCGCGCUGGAAUUCGGCCUCCCGCGGUGUGAGUUGCGGAGCAUCUCCCUCGGCGCCGCGGGUACACAUUGACGUGUUCGUGUGACGCGUUCCAGCGUCAACAUCUUCUUGCAACGGUUUGGUUUCUAAGUACUUAUGCCUCUUGCAAUAAAUAUCUUCUAUAUUUGGUGUGUUCAUGCAAACAUGCACUCCACAAAAGUUGACAUGCUCAUAAGAGAUAUUUUUAUCAUAACUAGUGCAAUCAUCAUUAGCAUCAUGGAUAUUCAAAGAAUUCGUACUAACAACAUUGCAAUCAUGCUCAUCAUUCAAAGAUUUAGUGCCAAACAAUUUAAUGCAUUCUUCUUUUAACACUUUGGCACAAUUUUCUUUUCCAUCAUACUCACGAAAGAUAUUAAAAAGAUGAAGCAUAUGAGGCAAACUCAAUUCCAUUUUUUUGUAAUUUUCUUUUAUAGACUAACUAGUGCUAAAACAAGAAACAAAAAGAUUCGAUUGCAAGAUCUAAAGAUAUACCUUCAAGCACUCACCUCCCCGGUAACGGCGCCAGAAAAGAGCUUGAUGUCUACUACACAACCUUCUUCUUGUAGACGUUGUUGGGCCUGCAAGUGCACAGGUUUGUAGGACAGUAGUAAAUUUCCCUCAAGUGGAUGACCUAAGGUUUAUCAAUCCGUAGGAGGCGUAGGAUGAAGAUGGUCUCUCUCAAGCAACCCUGCAACCAAAUAACAAAGAGUCUCUUGUGUCCCAAACACACCCAAUACAAUGGUAAAUUGUAUAGGUGCACUAGUUCGGCGAAGAGAUGGUGAUACAAGUGCAAUAUGGAUGGUAGAUAAAGGUAUUUGUAAUCUGAAAUUAUAAAAACAAUAAGGUAACUAAUGAUAAAAUUGAGCGUAAACGGUAUUGCAAUGAUAGGAAACAAGGCCUAGGGUUCAUACUUUCACUAGUGCAAGCUCUCUCAACAAUAAUGACAUAGAUAGAUAAUAUAACAAGCCCUCAACAUGCAACAAAGAGUCACUCCAAAGCCACUAAUAGCGGAGAACAAACGUAAAGAUUAUGGUAGGGUACGAAACCACCUCAAAGUUAUUCUUUCGGAUCAAUCUAUAAAAGAGUCUGUACUAGAAUAACACCAUAAGACACAAAUCAACCAAAACCCUAAUGUCACCUAGAUACUCCAUUGUCACCUCAAGUAUCCGUGGGCAUGAUUGUACGAUAUGCAUCACACAAUCUCAGAUUCAUCCAACCAACACAAAGUACUUCAAAGAGUGCCCCAAAGUUUCUAUCGGAGAGUCAAGAAUGUGUGCCAACCCCUAUGCAUAGGUUCCCAAUGUCACGAAACCCGCAAGUUGAUCACCAAAACAUACAUCAAGUGCCACAUGAUAUCCCAUUGUCACCACAGAUAAUCACGGCAAGACAUACAUUAAGUGUUCUCAUAAAAGACUCAAUCCGAUAAGAUAACUUCAAAGGGGAAACUCAAUUCAUCACAAGAGAGUAGAGGGGGAGAAACAUCAUAAGAUCCAACUACAAUAGCAAAGCUCGGGAUACAUCAAGAUCGUGCCAUCGAGGGAACACGAGAGAGAACACGAGAGAGAGAGAGAGAGAGAGAGAGAGAGAGAGAGAGAGAGAGAUCAAACACAUAGCUACUGGUACAUACCCUCAGCCCCGAGGGUGAACUACUCCCUCCUCGUCAUGGAUAGCGCCGGGAUGAUGAAGAUGGCCACCGGUGAUGGGAUCCCCCUCCGGCAGGGUGCCGGAACGGGCUCCCGAGAGGUUUUUGGUGGCUACAGAGGCUUGCGGCGGCGGAACUCCCGAUCUAUCUUCUGUUCUGGAAGUUUUAGGGUACGUAGGUAUAUAUGGGUNNNNNNNNNNNNNNNNNNNNNNNNNNNNNNNNNNNNNNNNNNNNNNNNNNNNNNNNNNNNNNNNNNNNNNNNNNNNNNNNNNNNNNNNNNNNNNNNNNNNNNNNNNNNNNNNNNNNNNNNNNNNNNNNNNNNNNNNNNNNNNNNNNNNNNNNNNNNNNNNNNNNNNNNNNNNNNNNNNNNNNNNNNNNNNNNNNNNNNNNNNNNNNNNNNNNNNNNNNNNNNNNNNNNNNNNNNNNNNNNNNNNNNNNNNNNNNNNNNNNNNNNNNNNNNNNNNNNNNNNNNNNNNNNNNNNNNNNNNNNNNNNNNNNNNNNNUUCUUCCCUGACGUGCACUCCAAGUCCAUCGGGUGGCCUUCCUUCCAAAAAUAACUUCUCCAGUUGAUUUCGUUCCGUUUUGACUCCGUCUGAUAUUCCUUUUCCUCGAAACACUGAAAUAGGCAUAAAACAGCAAAUCCGGGCUGGGCCUCCGGUUAAUAGGUUAGUCCCAAAAAUAAUAUAAAAGUGGAUAAUAAAGCCCAAUAUUGCCUAAAAUAGUAGAUAAAGUAGCAUGGAGCAAUCAAAAAUUAUAGAUACGUUGGAGAAGUAUCAGUACGCGGCGACGGGUUGGAGGCUCCUAGUCGCUUUGGGGGGGACUCCUCAAAACUGUUUGGGGUUGAAAUCUUUAUACACACAUGUGCACUAUUCAAAACUCCGAACAAAAAACAUUCGGAAGCAUGGAGCUAUAUAAUUUGUUCUGCAAAUAGUGGCUCGGUGGCUCCGGGUGGAAUUCGUUUGGCAAUUCUGAAGGAUGAAAUUUGGUUCAGUUUGUGCACUUUGGAAGGACCAAGUGAACAACAUUUGGUGGCUCUAAAGAACAACAAAGGUUUUUAAUGACAGUCACAAUAUGGGUCGGAAGCUCCAAACGCUCCUCAUUCGGAGGGACCGACUGAGACUUGUUCAUUUUUUUUCUUGUGAUUUAGCAAGAAUUAGAAUUGAAACAAGAAUUAAGAUAGAUAGCUAGGGAGGACUCCUAGGCAUUCUUGUUGCAUCCGAUGGGCCAAAAGUCCAAAUCAAUCAAAGCUUCCAUAUGGAUGAACUUGAAUGGAAAUCAUGCAAAGCACAUGCUUCUGGUCCUAUAAGAUAUGUGAAGGACAAAACUAGGACAUGCAAAACCAAUCUAGCAUCUAUCAAAAAAAAUGAUCGAUGACUUAACCAUAUAUGAGCAUAUUGACCUAGUACCGUUUGGUCUAGUAAAGACACUGGAUCCUAUGAGCCAAAGUCAUUGUUUAAGCUCUAAAAGGGGUUGCCUUUUUCGAUAUAAGCAUCAGUGUUUUCAAAAUUACAGUUACAUGAGCUCAAUACAUUGAGUAAAGCUCCCCUCAAAUAUGAUAUCUCUUCUCAAUAGGAUGCACCUACAUCGGAUUUGUUGUAGACGAAUUUGGGUAGUCAAACUUGUUGUGGUUUCACAACAUUGAUGAUGACUUGUGGUUAUCAUCAAGAGUUAGGAACAACCUUUUAUUCAUUUGUUGCACUUUCAAUACCUACACAGGUUAGUAACACAAGGGACAACAAGGAUAUCCAAUAGACAGAGAGUGAAAAUCACAAUAAAUGAUGUGUAUAGAUGUGUCAGGUUACCCUGGCCCUAUGUCUUACCAACCCAAAGAGUAUUCUUUACUCCUUAGAUUAGUGAUAGACAUGGAAGUGAUGUUGCACUAACUCAUUCGAAGAAAAUAUGUAAUCUUUAAACUCAUUAUUGGAGUCGCCCUCAAGAACUCUCCUAGUUCUUCCUUUUGGCGAUCGACAUCGUCUUAACAGGGAUCUCAUGACUUGAUGUUGAUCUUGAAGAAGUGGAACUUGAAGUAUAUUCGGUAACCCACUUGAACUUGUCUCUAGUAGGACCACUAUAUGUAGCAGUAUCUUGCUCAUUUUGUAUUGGGGGUCACCUAUCCUUUUGCUUGAAUCCUUGUGGAGCAUGAUCAUUCUUCCCUUGUGUUCCCUUGUAAGGGAGUGGAUCACACUUCUCCUUUUGAGGAACAAACUUUGUCCUGGGGUAUUGAUUAUCUUCCCAUUCUACUCCAUUGGCAUUGAACUUACAUCAAAACCAACACUUUGAUUACUAUGAUAUCAUCCUUGCUUACUCACAAUCUCAUCAAAUUGCUUACUUCUGGCAAGACUUUUGUGGAUACCUUUCUCACCAGUUCCUUUCAAUAAUGCAUUUUAUUGCUCAAGUGUAACUUGGCUAAGAGAAGAGUUAGUUGAACCACUAGAGCUACUUCAAAGAAGUGAUGUCUUUUGAUGUAUCUUUAGGAGCACUAGAAAUUGAUGGGGUGGAUACAAUUUUACGUUUGUGAGAUGAUUGUUGUGGCUUCACUUGUGAUGUGAAAGUAGACAAUAGUUAUUUGAUAAUAUUAGAGGUACUCUCUUUUGAAGAUCAUCAUUGGUAGCUUUUAACCACUCGUGCUCUUGCAUCAAGUUAAGCAUUUCGAAACAUAGACUCUCAUGAGUUUUCAAAAGUUCUUUAUGAUCUUCUAGAUGAAUUUGAUGUCUUAACUUGAGAUCGUCUAGCUCUUUAGUUAAGCAUUCAUUCUCACUAUUCGCAUUGACAACCAAAUUUUCUUGUUUGCCACACAUAUUAGCAAGGGUGUCCUAGCUCAUAUUGCAAUCAUAAUCAAGUAAAUAAUCUUCUCCACUAUUGAAAUCCACAAACUAGGGAUGUAUUACCUUAGGACCAUUAGCCAUGAAGCAUCUUGAAGAUCCACCAAUUCCUUCAUUUGGAGAAUCUAAUAAGCAAAUGGGCUUGGAGCAAUACCUACAACACCAUCAUCUUCACUAUAUUCGGAGUUGGGGUGAUAAAAACUAGCUUUGGAGUUUUUGUAGGAUUCAGAUACCCAUUCUCUAAUGUUUGUUGAUGAUCUUCUCUUGGAGUAUUCUUAUGGUAAAAAUUGUUGUAAGGCACAAAUUAUUUCUUAGGAAUUGGAAGGCACAAAUUGUUGUAAGACAUGGCUCUACAUAUUUAGUUAGAAAAUAUGCAUUAGUAGGUCUGAAAGAUGUAGCUUGGUUUUUAAUUCCAACCGUGAAGGCAUUAACAAAGCACCUGAUAAACCAUAACCCGCAAAUCUAGGGAUUUUCCUCUUAUACAUCAGCCAUUAAGUCCUCAAAUAACUUAGUAUAUUCAGUAACAAUUGAAUUUUUUCUUCAUUGCAUUGAAAUUGUCUGUCAAAUCAUAAGAUCCUUGCUUUGGAAAUCUCUUGAUAUGUUCAAUGCAAAUUCUUUCGAAGUAAAGUGUUUCUUAAGUAACCCAGAUCUCCUUAAGCAAGCAAGCUUCACCUAUAGUAUACAAUUGAGUUAUACUCCCUCCGUUCCUUGAUAUAAGGUGUAUAGAUUUUUGAGCAAAAAUCCGAAAUAUAAGGUGCAUUGCGUUGCACCACUCGUUUGGAUAAUUUUCUUUAGGAAUUUGAUUACAUUUCCUUAUAUCAGGCAAGCUCCUCUAUUUACUCAUGUCAAUUAGUCAGGUGUAAUCUCGCCCAUAACUUGUGAAAUUUUCCCUCCAUGUGUGUUCUUUAAUUUUCGUGCCAAAAACUAUACACCCUAUAUUUAGGAAUGGAGGGAGUAUAUUCAUCUAGAUUUGCACAGCUGAAAAUAUGUAUUACACUACAUUAUCCGUUCUACUACAUCAAUGCCCUCAAACUUGGGGAAAUCAAUCUUUGGUCCCUUAGUCAGGGAUUUCAUGAACCGUGCAUGCGUUCUAUAAUACCCUUGCCAUAAUUGUCUCUCCUGUUCUGAUGAAACUAUUGAAAUGCUGGAGUAUGGACUCUUUCAUGAUCUGCUACAGGUGUGCCCACAACACAUGUGCUUUCAUAAGCAUGAUGUUGUUGAAAACUAGGUGUUGUCAUCGGUACGAAUGGAUGGUAAAUUAUGUAACUGUAGGUCUUCUAUUUGUUUGGUCCUUUCCUUAUCCUUUUCCAAGUCAAUUGUUCAUUUCUAGCAAUUUGCUCUAUACUUGUUCUGGUUGUAGAGGAAAUUUGACAGUGUGGCCAGUUCUCUCUUCUGACUUGUUUCUACUUGUUUGCACUUGUUUGUGGGACAAUCGAUUACAACAUUGUACUCAUAGCUGACAGUUGUUUGCCCAAUUAUACUACUGCUUGUUCCACUCCUUCAACUUGCAGAGAAAUCUCACAUUACUUGGAUCCAAUAGACUGAACAUCCUCUUGUGAUUUGGAGACGUCUUUCUGUAGGGUUGCGUUGUCCUUUAAAAAACCAUUAAUUCUUCUUUCAUAGACAAAACUUCCUGCAAAUCUGCCUCAUUGAUGUUCUUGUUGCUCCUCCCCAUCUCCUUGAUCUAAAAAAUAGGUGAGGAAUUUUACCACUAAACAAGCCAACAACCUGUCCCAUGUUAGGAUCCUACCGCCGCCAACGAUUCUCAUCUCCAUGCUGCAUGUAUCAGAGCUAGACAUGGAAUUUUAUCGAACGAGAGAUGUUCUUGAACAACCACUCCAGUCAACUGAUCUACACCGGAACAACCACCGCCACUCGCGCCACAAACACCGCCGCCCGUGCUGCCAGAAUCACUCAAAACCGCCACUGCAAGAGGGUGGUAUUUGAUCAAUCUGACGAAAAAAAUCACCAAUAGAAAACGCCACCAAGGAACUUGAGCUCGAAUACCAAUUUGUUUAGGACCCGGAUUGGAUCAAGGGGAAUUUGGGACAGUAAAUAUGGUAAUAAAGGGAACAAGGUAGGGUUUUAAGUUCAAACCAAGGAGGCCAUUUCUACAUUACUGUAGCUACAAGGUAUCGAGUCCAUCCAUUAGGAAAUAGACAAUUCAACGUACUCCACACCAGCCACAACCUGGCUUAUAAGGCUGGACCAAAAGCUUGUAGCUCGUGAGCUUAAUGGGCGCUCGAUAGCUUGGUUUGUUAAGCUUGUAGUUCGCUUCUUAAUGAACAUAACAAGUCGCUGAUUUCAGCUUGUUAAGCUUAAUGAGUUUUAACAAACGAGCUAACGAGUGUCACAAGCAGCUCAUUAAACUCGUUAGUACAACACAAGAUAUAUGUUUAUCUUAUGUGGCAACAUCAUUGUAGCACCUCCCCCGUCUGCCCAACCUAGCCCAUAGGAGGCAACUAGUGCACCUUCUACUAUAGUCAUCAUUUUCGUUCGUAAAAACCACAUCUACACUCACAUCCCAUAGACCGUGACACGUCGUAGUUUAUUAACGAGCUCUUGUGGGUGCUCAUGGGCUUAAUGAGUUCUAGAUGAACAGAGUCGAGCAGAUUUUCUGCAUGUUAAGCUUAAUGAGCUGAGGCUUAAUGAGCACAAGCUUUAAUGAGCUGAGGCUUAAUGAGCACAAGCCUUAAUGAGCUGAGUAGCUUGUUAAACCACCUGCUUAUAUAGGCGGUUCAUUACCCACUACAGCGGUUAAGGUACCUGUUCCCUUUCAAAAUAUAAGGUGUAUCGAUUUUUGUGCAAGUCAAACUUGUGUAUGUUUGAUCAGAAUUAUAAAAUAAAAUAUUGACAUCUAUAAUACAAAAUAAAUAAAAUAUAAAAAUACUUUCUGUGAUGAAUCUAACGCUACAAAUUUGUUACUUUAAUUUUCUUUUUAAACUUGGUCUAACAUGAAUAUAUUUGAUUUUUGAAAAACUAUACACCUUAUAUUUUGAAACGGAAGGAGUAAAUAACAAGAAUAACCACUCUAUAAUAGUUAAAAGGGAUCUGACGGCUCAGCGACGAGGUCAGGAGAGGAGCCAUGUGAGCCGUAGGAUCCAAUCAAAGCGGUAUUGCGAGGAAUGCUACACAUAACUGAAGAAUUCGACAGCUUCAGGUUCAGGUUGUGACACCAGCAUAAUAAUCCUCCUCCUUCCCGCCAUUCACUCCCAACCAUCCAAGCUCAAAACCAUUUUUUGUGUGGCAAAGAUAACGAAACCCAUCUCCGAACUUUGGUUUGUGCAUGUGUGCGCGUGCGUACUCUUCAUGCAUGUCUGUGCCUGCCUCUCCUCCCUCGGAGCGGCCAGCGCGCAUUCCCCGCAGCCAUGGGCCAAUGCUGCACAAACGGAGCCGGGCAGGCUGCCGCUGCCGACGCGGCGGCCGAGGCAGAGCCGCCGGCGCCCCCAAAGACGCCGCGCGGGGACAACGCACCGACCAACGAUGGCCCGGCUCCUGCCGCCGCCGAGGCCGAGCCCGCCUCUCCGGCAACCAAGGCGGACCCCAAUGCCAAGCCGCCGGCCCCCGUGGGCGAGGUUCUCGGGCGACCCAUGGAGGACGUGCGCGCGACGUACACCAUCGGCGAUGAGCUCGGGCGUGGCCAGUUCGGCGUGACCUACCUGUGCACCCACACGGAGACGGGGGAGAAGCUCGCGUGCAAGACGAUCGCGAAGCGGAAGCUGUCGGGCGCGGAGGACGUGGAGGACGUCCGCCGCGAGGUGGAGAUCAUGUGCCACCUCUCCGGCCAGCCCAACAUCGUGGACCUCCGCGGCGCCUACGAGGACAAGCACAACGUGCACCUGGUGAUGGAGCUGUGCGCCGGCGGGGAGCUCUUCGACCGGAUCAUCGCCAAGGGGCACUACACGGAGCGCGCCGCCGCCUCGCUGCUCCGGUCCGUGGUCGGGACCGUGCACACCUUCCACUCCAUGGGGGUGAUGCACCGGGACCUGAAGCCGGAGAACUUCCUGAUGCUCAACAGGGACGAGUCGUCGCCCAUCAAGGCCACCGACUUCGGCCUCUCCGUCUUCUUCAAGGAAGGCGAGGUGUUCAAGGACAUCGUCGGCAGCGCCUACUACAUCGCCCCGGAGGUGCUCAAGCGCAAGUACGGGCACGAGGCUGACGUCUGGAGCAUGGGCGUCAUGCUCUACAUCUUCCUCUCCGGCGUCCCACCCUUCUGGGCGGAGACUGAGAACGCCAUCUUCACCGCCAUUCUGCGCGGGGAAGUCGACUUCGUCAGCGAUCCGUGGCCCAACAUCUCCCCCGGGGCCAAGGAUCUUGUCAGGAAGAUGCUCCAAAUCAACCCCAAGGAUAGGCUUACGGCCAUCCAAGUCCUCAGUAAGCCACUUGUGCAUGUUCUUUUUUCCUCCUGUCAGAUGCUAGCUUCGUGCACGCUUGUCGUACUACAUGACGAAGGCAAUCGAUGCCCUGAAAAAUAACUUGAGCUUUUUCAGACCACCCAUGGAUCAAGGAAGACGGAGACGCCCCCGACACGCCGCUCGACAACGUCGUUCUAGACAGGAUGAAGCAGUUCGUGGCCAUGAACCAGUUCAAGAAAGCCGCACUGAGAGUAGGCACAUGGACUGACAUUAACAACGCUUCUUCAGGUAACUAACUAAUCUUUGAUACUUUGCGGUGAACUUUGUGUAGGUCAUUGCCGGGUGCCUGUCAGAGGAGGAGAUCAAGGGGCUCAAGGAGAUGUUCAAGAGCAUCGACAAGGACAACAGCGGCACCAUCACCCUCGAAGAGCUCAAGAACGGGCUGGCCAAGCAGGGCAACAAGUUUUCGGACAAUGAAAUUCAGCAACUGAUGGAAGCAGUGAGUCUUAAUUCAGAUGACACAAUCAACGACGUGGUGUUACAUAUACGUAUUGACAUGAACAGAAAUAAUUUUCUGCUUCGAUUUCCAGGCCGAUGCCGACGGCAAUGGAUUGAUCGACUACGAGGAGUUCGUCACCGCGACGGUGCACAUGAACAGAAUGGACAGGGAAGAGCACCUCUACACCGCGUUCCAAUACUUCGACAAGGACAACAGUGGGUAAGUUUAAGCACCAACAAACUGAUAAUUAGCCCGCAAAAAGAGAAACUGAUAAUUAACACAACCUCGUUCCAAAAUGUAAAACGUUUUGGCUGUUCAAUUUAAACUGCCAAAAUAUUUUACAUUUAGAUUAGAAACAGAGGUAGUAUUUUCUGGAAAAAGAAAAGAAACAGAGAUAGUACAUCUCAGGCUCCUGGAUUCAAGAUUUUUGGAGGCUCAUAUACCUCUUGCAGGUACAUCACAAAAGAAGAGCUGGAGCAAGCCUUACAAGAGCAGAAGUUGUUCGACGCCGAGGAAUUCAAGGAUGUCAUUGCUGAAGCUGAUUCCGACAACGUAAGAAAGAAAAAUGCAUUCAAAACAAUAGUAGAUGGUAAAUGCAUCGAAAGGAACUGAAACUGUUUUCUUGACGACGUAUGCAGGAUGGGAGGAUAGACUAUUCGGAGUUCGUGGCGAUGAUGAGGAAAGGAACGGGCGGUGCGGAGCCAUCGAACCCGAAGAAGAGGCGAGACCUAGUCCUAUAGUGAAGCGUUGCUACGGUGUGUAUGUCAACAGAGUGCAGAGCUGUAACUGUAAUGUGCAUGCUGCUUUCUUUUGGGAACAAAUCCACAUGAAAUUUGAAAGGCUUACAUUGAAAGCAGUUCAAUUCCUGUAGGGUUGGGGGGAAAAGGAAUUUGUGUUCCGAAAUGAGUAUGGUUGGCAUCCGACAUGAUGAGCAAUCCCCGGAGAUUACUGCUUCAUGUGCUUGAGUAAGGAAGCUUCUGAAUAGUCCAAAUCUACCACUACGGUAGAUUUUUUUAUGCCGUAGGUAAAGUGGUGGCAAAUUCAAAUGGAUGUGCACAAUGUGGUGGUUUUUUGUAGUUCACUCGAGCGCAUCCGACUGUCUCCUCUCACACAUGCCAUGGCACUCUAGAAACAUCAAUCGGACAUGUACAAAUGCAACGACCAGGAAUGCAUGCACACAUCCAAUUUAGAUUACGUAAAGUUAUGCAGAAGUUAUCCUAAUAAAAAAUAAAACUAUGCAAUGUGUUUAAGACGUGUGUCCAAACUAUAAUCUGUUUUCACCGUUGUGUGGACAACACGAUCUUCAAAGCUAGAUCCAAAUGUACACGUUGCAAUCAAUGUUUUCACGAAGCAACUUAUUGUGAUUAAAAGCAAGUUUGUACUAUGAAUCCGUUUUUCUCUCACAAACCCGGUAUGUAUAACCGAUUGGUUCAUGUUUGUUAUAAAUCGUAUGUGCACGAAGCAAAUUUCAAGUGUACGAAUCAUAUGUACAAUUUUCAAAAAUGCUUUUACAAAAUUGUAAGAGUUUGCACCGGCACUUUCGAAAAGAAAACUAGUGUGACAAAGAGCAACUUGUAAUAAAGAUUGUGGUGCAAUCAAUCCCAGUGUACACAAUGGCAUGUUUUGGUUUACCAAACACUAUAUGAUCAAGUAAGGUUCAUCGGAAACAGGUGGUGGCGGAUAUGAUGAAUUGCACCCCUAAUUGAUUUUGAUGAUUUAUGACAACUAUUUGAGAGGACCAAUGGCAAAAAAAUAUUGAGACUAAUCAUUUCAAUGAGUUUAUUGAAGGUACCACAACUAAUUCUCGUAUACNNNNNNNNNNNNNNNNNNNNNNNNNNNNNNNNNNNNNNNNNNNNNNNNNNNNNNNNNNNNNNNNNNNNNNNNNNNNNNNNNNNNNNNNNNNNNNNNNNNNNNNNNNNNNNNNNNNNNNNNNNNNNNNNNNNNNNNNNNNNNNNNNNNNNNNNNNNNNNNNNNNNNNNNNNNNNNNNNNNNNNNNNNNNNNNNNNNNNNNNNNNNNNNNNNNNNNNNNNNNNNNNNNNNNNNNNNNNNNNNNNCCCCCUCACAGACAAUUUUUCAAGUUAUCUACAUGAAGCUCGGCUCGCUUUUAGUGAAUAUCCACUCUCUUUUUUCAACUUACCCACUGUAAAGAAAUAUAAGAUCAUUUAGAUCACUAAAGUAGUUAUCUAAACGAUCUUAUAUUUCUUUUCUCUUUUUGAUGGUAAUACGCCAUCAUGGCAUUUUAUAUUUCAUGCUCAAAUAUGGAUUAACGUUUGCCAAAACAUUGACAAGAAAAUUUGGAGGCUCCGAUAGCCAAACAAUGGAUCGAUCACACUCCACCUUGCUAGCCAAAACGUCUGCCCCCAUAUUGGCCUUUCUAGGACAACAGGGGCGGAUCCACAUAGGGUCUUGGGUGUACGGAUGUACACCCAAAAUUUUCUACAAAUUUUUUCGUAUAUAGAGUAUAGAGUGGACACAUAUAUCACUUGUGUUAUUUUUGGAGCUGCAUAAGUAGUAUUUCCUCAUCCAAAUCGAGCACAAGCGUUGCUGGCAGUCGGGAUGGUACAAGAACCCAGCGCAGUUGGGGGCAUGGAUAAGCCGGACAGGAUGCAUGGCGUCCAAACGCAGUAAAAAGAACUGUUAGGAGAAAAAAAUGCUUCUCUGCUAGGACAAAAAAAUUUGAACACCUGAAGUUGAAUUCCUGGAUCCGCCACUGUAGGACAAUGAUUAAUAGUAAUAGAAGAAAAAUUUCGACUAAGGAAAGAACAUUCUUCAUAGAUGGCAGCUGCCUGUCCUAGCGAGUUACACCCAUUGAGCAUUACAUAGAUCACCUCCAUACAAUCAGCUUCAAGAAUCACGUUAUGGCGGCCAAUGGUUUUUUUUUUUUUGAAAAGGGGGGACUCUCCGGCCUCUGCAUCAGAACGAUGCAUGCGGCCACUUAAAUAAAUAAAAUAGGUUCAACAAUGUCAUAGAGUCUUGGAACAAAAUAAAGGCGAGCUCACAUAGAGCCUCGACGCUAAAACAAGAAAAAGUCGUAAAGCCACAACCGGCUGGCAAAAUAAAGAUAGGAAAACUAAUUGCCUAUCCUAUUACAUGACCGCCAUCCAAAGCGGUUGAAGAUAUCCCGCGCUACCAUCUCCCACCAGACAGAUCCAGUAACCAAAUGCUCCCUGGCCUCCGUCGGAGUGAGUAAGGACCACAUACGGAUCAGCGUCGUAGCAUGGAAUACAACCAGUAGUGACCUCGACGUCACGAAGCUUGGCCGCCCUCAUGGCGCACCGCUGCUGAAUGUCGUCCACGUCCGACUGUGCCUGGAGACGGCCACUCACCCGGCGCCCCUCCGACAUCGGAUCCUGAAUCCCUCCAAACGCAAUGACCUCCUCCCGAGAGAUCGCGGUCGGGGUUCGGCCUCCUACCUCACCCCAACCAGCAGGUCGAUCCAUCUGCACGGGAUCACCCACAGCCUCGCCGGAGAGUGGACCGGCACUCACCAAGAUCUCAGACUCCUGGCGCGCCCCGCAGGACGGGGCCGGCAGGAAGGGUGGUGGAGGCAGUACAAGGGCCGCCUGCCCUCGCACCCCACCAAGCACCGGAGAAGCCACCCCCACAGGCGCCGUAUGAGGAGAAGGCUCCGAGGCCACCUGCCCCGAGCCCUCUCCCGAAGGCGCCACGAACCGAAUGGUAGACGCGACGGGAGAGGAGGUAUCCGAGGCCUCCUGCCCCAGACCCCCUCCCAACGAAGAAAAGGACACGGGAGCCACCUGCCCGAGUCCCCUUCCUCAACAGAAGGGGAGCAACCCGAGGCCGCCUGCCCCAGGGCUCCACCCGACGAGCCGGGCACGACAAGUUGCGUCACCUCCUGAGAAGAUACCGUGUGCUGAGCGCGAGGGGGAGUGGCCACCUGCCGACUCACCUCCUCAUCCCUCCAGAUCGAGAUUGAAGAACCCCCAAGAUCCCCAGGAAUGGUAUCCACAGCACCCUCAAACCCCAAAACAGGCAACUCGAGCUCAAAAGCCUCCUUAGACUCGACCCUAUCACUCCACAGUCUCGGAGGUGCAGAAGAGGGCUCGAAAGACCCAAAUCUCAGAGUCGUCGAAGGCACCGAGGAGGGUGGGGCUGCUCCAUCCCCGGUCGUCGCGGUCUCGGACCCCGGCCCCUUGGACAACUGUCGUCCAGAGUCCCCGACCGGCGGCUCCUGCGCUCCCGCGCUGCCAUCACCCUCGUGCAUAUCCACGUCAGACUCAUGAGCCGGCGCAACUAGAAGGCUCUCAUCCUCAAACUCAAUAACCAGAUUAUAAAUCCUGCCUCGAUAAGCCCACUUAACCACUUCCGGCACAUACUCAAUGUUCAAAAUACUAACCAGAACCCGAGCAAUCUCGUGAAUAUGGCGGCCAAUGGUACCUGCCAAAAUCAGGCCAUCCUUGAGAGCUCGAGCCUCCGCAUUAGCCGCAUCUGCUACCCACUGCAGGUCGUUGCUCGACGCGGCGAUGAAGAAGCCAGUGACAUCUCGGAUUACUACCCCAGUCCCACCAGUACCACCAUCGUCGUCAAACGCAGCAUCGACAUUUAACUUGACAUAACCUUCCUUCGGUUUCAUCCAUCCAUACCUCAUGAUCCGUUGGCUACCUUUACUGGAUCUAAACGGUCUUAUAUUUCUUUACAAAGGGAGUAUAGUAUGAAUCUUUCUAAGCUCUGGUACUUCCGAAGACUUAUCUUUUGGUGCUUUCUGAGCACUUUGAGUCAUUCGUACUUAGAGAACAAUUCCUGAUUCUACAGUUCGAAAUUACCAUUUUCUUUGUUCCAGAACUGCUAAGCCUUUGAAACAUCAUGUGUUUGGAUCCCACACUUCCAUGUCGUCUCGGUUUGCUUCUUUGUGAGUCACAAUAUAGAGUCUGGUACCUUCGCUCUUUUUCAUGCAGAACUUCAAAGAUGUGACUUCCCUUUUUCUGCAAUUUCUCGUUUUGAGAUUUUGUAUGCACUACCGAGUAAUUGGUUCUAUCUAGUACUUUCAAAUUGUUUGCGGAGGAGAGUAGUGAUUUGGACGGUGCAAUCUCUCGCUCGCCUAAGUUCAUUGGGAGUCAAGUGUUGGCCAUGGAGCGUGGAGUUUCAAAUGUUGUUGCCCUUUCCUCAUCUGCGACCAUUGAGCAGGUGAUGUGUGUGAGUGGCAUGGCCAUUGUGCCAAGUGUGUUGGCACCUACUCCAAAUCCAGAUGCUCUCUUCGUGAAGGAACUUUGUGACUUGCUCGCUAGCGUGGAGGUUGCUAGACCUGAUUUGGGCAAGUCGAUUGCUUGCCUCCUGACGGGGACGCCAAUAAGGGGCAAACAAAAGAAGGUGGGCAAAUGCAAGAGUGGUGUCAUAGGCAAGGCGUCUGUGGCUGCUUGAUGGAUGAUCUUUGGUCUCUCAGCAUGUCCUCUUGGAUUGGGAGGUACAUGAUGUCCUGUGUCGAGGCGUUCUUGUCGGGAUUCACUUGGCAUAGUAGCAGUGUCGGGGUUGUGGAUGUUGUGCAUUCAGAAAGUUUGGCAAGGGCCGAGUGUGCAGUUGUGGGGUUUCUUGCCAUGUGAGUAGUUAGUCCGUGCUCCGUUUGUGUAGGUUUUCGCCCAGUUUUUUUUAAAUUAACUAGGCAAUUCUCUUCUUCUUAAUUAAUCGAUGAGGCAAAACUUUUUGCCUCCGUUUCAAAUAAAGAAAUUGUGUUCUAUGUUCGGAAAAAAGGUGUUGCAUUUUUCAUUCGGAGCCAUCGCUCAACUUUUCACCUUUCAAGUACUAUAUUUUCUCUGAUUUUGAAUGGUGCCUUGGACUUUCAAAUUUAUUUGAACUGUUUCAAUAGUUCCUCAAGUUUUCUCCCGGCACGUCCUAGCCCAAUUACUUUUUGCAGUAACGGUCAGAUUUUGGACUCUAUACAUAUGCUCUCAUACCCAUUUGUGGUGUAACGCAUCAUAACCAACCGACUCUAUUCCACCACAAGUCAUUCCACUCACCCACUCAACAACCCCUUGCAAGCCGCCCCACACCACUCCAUCUCACUACACUAGUAUACACUACACUCUUGAAUUCCCUACAACUCUAAAAGUAUAUCAGGUUGCCGCUUAAUUAAUGAAAAAGCAGGUAGUAAACGUUUAGGAUCUGUGACUGCUUCACUAUGAUGUGUUAAACUUCUCACGUAGCUGUUGUGACGUACAGUAUUUCAGAGUGCAAUGGGUGAAUACAUGAAGCAGGCUCCAGCUUUUGCUCCUUGUGAUCCAAUGCAUGACGUUCGGACGAUAUGUUACACCACCCCCCGACAAACCCACCGAAUCUGUUAGCCCAUGGGAGAAGAUCUAGAUGGUGCUUACAUCAACUUUGCUCUUGGAAAUUUGGAAGGCAGGGGUGAUCCAGCUGCCACAGUUGCACUGGAUCCCUGACCAGUUGAAGUACCCUAGGCGCGCCCCGCAGUGGAUGCACGACAGCUUCCCCUCCAAAGCACCAUCUUCUACUGCUUCAUCAUGAGCAACAUCAGAUAAUGAACAGACUGGUGAUAUGCUAUGGAUCAAUAUACAUAUAUGUGAACGCACUAUGUUCCUGCAAGAGAUGACUUUACCUGGAGUCAUCCACUUUAGAGGCUCAACAUACAGAGAAGAGCAAUCUUGUUCCUUGUUGUGUGUGUGGCCUUUCCUCUUGUCGUGCCACUCAAAGCUCGAGUUGCCUUCACCAGGAGUGUGGCCGAUAACAUUGUCCUGUGCAGCAACGAUCCUCCUGCAUUUCUUGCAGCGGUAUGCUGUUUUAAGGGUCUUCUCCUUGCCUGAUGAUUCCUGGGUAGGAUUAGGCUGUCGAGCAACUCCAGGAUCGUCUUCAAAUACAUGGUUCCCUAUUUUCUCUCCAACUUUGUAGGACUGACCUGCGACAAGUAAUAGGCAAACACUUAAUCAGUGUGCUGCUAAGAUUGAGAAAUAUCACUGCUUGAUAUGAUCAUUUUCUACAGAAUCUAUGACAAAGUUGUUUUAUUUUCAGCAAGAGCAGCACCCUGCAACCACAAGAAUUAUAAGGAGCACAAAGGCAAGCAUAUGAUAUGAGAUGGGGAACCUGACAAAAGGAUAGAUCUCUCUGCCUCCAUUUUUCAAAAUAAAUGUUGGAAAAUGACCAACCUAACAAUUUUAAGCGGAAGCGCCGGUAUAAAGGACUUGAAGUAUCAACCUUGAAACCCAUUUCUUCAAACAAUUUUAACUGCAAGGUAUAGGAAAUUCGACUUAAUAGAAGAAAUCUAGUGAGAUAUAGUGCGACCAAUUCAUAAUGAUAGCUUGCCUGGUCGAGGAAACCAUCGUUUGGGCAAACAGACUCAUUAAUUUCCUUCAAGGACUCUAGUGCUUCUGGAAAAAGAAUAAAGUAGUGAAUGCCACAUGGAUUAUAAAAGGUUGGAUCAGAUAAUUCAGCAACGUACAAACUAAAGAUUAGUGUAUUAAAAAAUUUGAUCCAAAAAAAAAAUUCAUACCUUCAAGAGACUUCUGCUCUGUUCUCAUUAGAUAUGCUGUGGUGAUGGUAGCACUGCAGCAUGAUAUAAAUUCCAAAUAGAUGUUAUAUAGUGAACGUGAAUGGCAUCAUUAUAAGUGAAAAAUACACAUUCCCCAUUUCUGGCACAUCAAAUAGGAAGUUACAUGUGGAAAUUGCAAUGCAUCCUAUAAUAAUUGGUUACCAAGAGCCAUGAGUUGUCAGCUUUCUUACUUGCUAAACAUUCUUAAGCUCAAAAACAUAAAAUCCCAUGUGACUAAGAAUAUCUUUUAUACUAGAACUCACUAAACUUAUCAUUAACUUAGUAUAGCAGGAUUACAAAUAAUAAAGAACACCGAUAAAAAUAUGGAAUUGCAUUAAGCCAUAUGCACCAGUUAAAACAAGAUUUGGCCCCCUUCACAAGAAGAUUAAAGUUUCAACUACAAGAAACUUCUGCUUAGCUUGUCGAAUUCCAUUACAAUUGGACAUAUGUUAGACCGGUGUGACCCUGAGAAGAGGUGGCGCUUCAUGGGUUUAUCAGCUCUGCAAGUCAGUUUCAACAGCACCUUGCUUGCCUGACAAUUCUAUGCUAGCCGCAAUCCAUCACAAGUUGAUCGAGAGACAUGCUGCAGCCAUCUUGCUCCGGCGAGUUAAAAAAAAUAUCCUCUUGCAAAUCAUACCCAUGGCUCCCCAUCGCUAGGGGCAACACUGAUAAGCUCAUCAUAGCCAAAGUAUAUGGCAAACUGAAGCAACGCCACAGUCACCAACCACAUUUCGAAACUCCUCCAUCCGCCACCACUCACAACCUAACUCUCAAAUGCUUUAGCUGUCAGCGUGUCGUACCGGACUGUGUUCAAACCUCCCACACAUAGCCAGGCUAGCACAGAUUGGCACCUAGGUAACUCAACAAAUACCAACUAUCUGCCAUGAACUCCCAACGUGGUUCACCAUAGGAAACGGUGAAGCCUGCUGGCUUCCUCUGGCCACGCACAAACACAUCGAUGUGGGACUUCAAGAAUACUUUGUUUCGUGUCCACCUCUUCUCACCGGAACAACACCAAAACACCACUCCCCUCUUAAACUGAAGAGGCAUGCUGGAGUGUGGAGUCUUAAGGAUGAGACGACCGCUUUCUGCUCUCUUAACUAGUACAGUAGCAUUUUGCUUUCUGAGAGAAAAAAAAAAUGAGAUAUGCAAUGCGGCCUGGAGCUUACAAAAUGCCUCAGACUGCCCACAGCCUCAGCAGGUCAGAUUUAAAAUUUUAUUAUGCCUGACAGGGGUGCUCCAGAUUAGCAGCAUCCACCGGUUUUGCGUUGAUAGGCAUGGUCCCUUUCUUUCUAGCUUAACAUCACUAUCACCAGCCUUCACCUCUUUGUUCUGGUUGGUGUGCGGGGAAAAAACAGUUCAACAGCGGACAGCCAUGCUUAUCUUGCAAAUGUCUACAUCUUUCAGUAGCAUAAAAUGGACCAGUUUAGAUGCAGUAGCAAUGUUUUAACUAUAUGGAUUGAUCUGUAUUGACUAACCUAUUCAAAAUCAAUUUUUAGUCGUGUAUUGUCCCACUGACAAUGUUAUGGUGUUGCUAGAAGGAGGGCACGAGAGGGCCGGCCAAGGGCCUUUCUGCCCACGGCCGAGCAAGAGGGAAGGGAUUUCCUUCUUAAUUCUUGCUUGAUUAGAUUGAUACAUCUCCUUUCUUUAUAUAGAGAGGUUUACUUGACUCCCAAACAAGGCUUACUUGACCCCUAAGCAAGCGACCCUUAUCUCUAAUUAACCCUAAGACUAAUGGGCCCAUUAGGCCCAUUACGUACUCUAACACUACACCCCACCUGGACAUGCAGCUUGUCCUCGAGCUGCAGCCUAACCAACUUAUAACCAUGACUCGACGCAACACAAACCUAACACCUAAAAACAAGCCUUUUACAUCUCGGCUUGUUUUAUUAUUCUCAACCUGAAAUGGACUGAUUUUGGACCCCUUAACAAAAAGUGGACAGCAUCCACACGUCGGACGUGCACGUGUACAGCCACCUGGAUCCCCAUGGACACCACCUGGACAAAAAGAGUGCAUGUGUAUGACCACCUGGAAGUGGUCGCAAGAGUGACCAGCAGAGGCACCCUCGCGGCGUCCGAUGGCGGAAUGCAGUGGUGCUACGCGGUGCGCUGCUAUCGGUGACACCAUGCCUUCUCCCUGCCGGACGGCUGUUGGUUUGCACCGCACAGGGAAGAGUGGAGGGCUUGCGAUGGAGAAUGACGAGAAGGGGUGCGCCCCCAGCAUACCCGUCGCCCAUGGGGGAAACCGCAUGCCCAAGAUCCCCGACGCAGCGGAUGAGAUCGAGAUCCUUUGCUUGCGCAGUGAAGGGCAACUUGGAGGAGCGACGGCUGCAGACCACGCAUCUCCCGCACACACCAACGCGCUAGGAGGCCGCGCGCAGCAGCCUGCAGCCUCACCACCGCCGACACGUGGCGGGUAGCGAUCCAAGACGGAAGCGGUGACGGCGACGGCGGGGACUGGACUUGGUGGAGCGGGACUCCCGCCGGCGCGGUCGAUGCGGGGCCAGAGCUGACCGGCGGUGGCGGCUGCAGCUGCAGCGGCUGCUGCAGCGGAGCGCCGGGCGCGGCGGAGGCCGCGAGGAGCGGCGGCUGCCACUGCAUCUAGGGCUGGGCGGUGGUGGCGAUAGAUGGCAGCUGCAGCGGCUGCUGCAGUGGCUUGGCGAGCGCGGCGAUGGGUGCUGCAGGCGCGUUGGGAGCCGGCGCCGGCCACCUAAAAAGCACGGACACGGGGACGGAAAGACGGGGAUACGCAUACGGGGAUACGGGAUACGGCAUUUUUCAGAAACAGCCAUUCGGGGAUACGGCGAGUAUAUAUAAAAUAAAAUAAAAAUAUGCCAUGUAAUAUAGAGUUAAGACAGAAAAUUAAUGAGAAAGAAAUCAAAAUAGAGAAUCCUGCCCCAUUUGAUGUCUCUUUUUAUCAAGUCCUUGAUUGAUCCUCAUCCCCCCAUGCCAUGCAACCUAACAUCAAGCAGUACAAGGAGCAAGUAUUCAUCAAUCAUCAUUCAAGUUCAACAGCAGCACAAGCAUUCAACUAGCAACUAGCAAACAUGACAUGGGUAGCAACAGGCAACAGCAAGUCAGCAGCAGCGGCAGCAGGCCGGCAGCACAAGCAUUGAAAUAGCAGCAUGAUUACUACAAUCAUUCAAAGAGCAGCAAGCACACCAUCCAUUAGUUCAAUGGAAGGAAUCAGAAUAAAAGAGAUGAAGAAGUUGAGGAGAGGCUGCUGGGUUUGGAGAUUGGGGAGGGUUACCUGCCGUUGGGAGGAGAGGCUGCUGCCUGCUGGUGCUGUGGGGUAGCAGUCGCCGGUCGAGUGCAGGUGUCGCCGCCGGCGGCGGCGUUGAGUCCAGGCGGCGGUGGCUUCGAUCCAGGAGGUGGCGGCUUCGAUCCAGGAGAGGCUGCUACCUGGGAGCACAUCGCUUUUGUGUGGAAGAGAUGCGUGCGACUCAUGUAAAACAUAGGGUUUCGUUUUGGGCCUGUUAUUGGGCCAGGCCGUAUCCCAACCGUGUCACGGACGUAUCCCACCGUAUCCCCUCAUUUUUUUCUUUAUUUUUAAUCGAAAAUCAGGGGAUACUGGGGGACACGCGUAUCCUGCCGUAUCCCGCCGUGUCCCCGUGUACGGCUGUAUCAGAACGGCAGAUCGGCAAUUCCUGCCGUGUCCAUGCUUUCUAGCCGGCCACUGCGGCCACUGCGGGGUGGCGGGCGGCGAGUACCACGGCAGGGCCAGCGGCCCGACGGCGACGGUCGGCGGCAGGGGCGGCGGCGGCCCGUAGGGGCUGGCCAGGUACAGCCGGAUCCCCUGGACGGCUGUGACGAGGUCGUUGAGGACCCCGGUGAUCUCCUCCGGGGUGUAGGCGGCGGCCGGUGGUGCGGUGGAGGGCGCCGGCAUCUGGGCGGUGGCGGCGCCGGAGGAUGCGACCAGCGGCGCGGACGAGGAGGGCAACAGCGCGAUGUAGAUGGCCAGCGGCGCGGUGGUGAUGGUCGGCAGCGGAAGCGACGAGGUGGGCGGCGGCAAAAACAUGAUCGGAACUGAGCUACCUGAUACCAAAUUGUUAUGGUGUUGCUAGAAGGAGGGCACGAGAGGGCCGGCCAAGGCAUUUUUGCCCACGGCCGAGCAAGAGGGAAGGGAUUUCCUUCUUAAUUCUUGCUUGAUUAGAUUGAUACAUCUCCUCUCUUUAUACAAAGAGGUUUACUUGACUCCCAAACAAGGCUUACUUGACCCCUAAGCAAGCGACCCUUAUCUCUAAUUAACCCUAAGACUAAUGGGCCCAUUAGGCCCAUUACGUACUCUAACAGACAAACACUUCUGUACAAACAGUCCACAUGCUUGUUAUACAAGACACAUUUGAGAAAGCAGUAUGAGAUAAUAGGCAUUAACCAAAAUGCCACACUUAACCAUCAGUUUCUUCUGUAAAAAUUUCUAUUAGCCUAGUAGUCCAGCACUCCAGCUAGUUAUACCCGGUAAAGGGGGGUUAGUAUGUUCCCUUGCAAGGACAUAAGGCAUGUUUGGUUGGCUUCCACACUUUGCCAUACUAACUUUGGCCACAAGUGUGGGGACCAGUUUGGCCACCACAAAAACUAUGGCAUGCCACACUUAUGGCACAAAAGUGUGGUAAAGAGUGGAGGGCAACCAAAUAUGCCCUAAUGCUGAUAAAUGUGUGUGUGUGCCGAGUGAGACGUGUAGUUGAAAAAAAAAGCUAUUAACUGUGUAUUUAGCCAAAAAUAAGAUGUGUAUUUUCUAUUCAGCAAAAUACACAGUGUUUAGCUAAGUGUCCAGCUACUAGUUUUAUUUACAGUUAUUGCGAGUGUUCACGACAUGUCCCUCCCAUACACAUGCAUACAUAAACAGGAUUGGAACAUAAUCGCCAUAGCAAGUGGACAUUUUAAUCCACAUUUACCAGAUGUAGCCAGUUGGAGCACCACACAAACAGAAAUUUUACAGAACAAACUGAUAAGUUAGAUGGCAGAUUAUUGAUGAUGAUAGCAACGUAUCAUAAACUUCUCCUUGAUCAGGCAUUUAGACUGAGACAGUAAAAACAAGGGGCUCAUGUAAGAAACAAGAGAUCGAUUGAUUCAGGCUUGAUGUCCCUUGGGAUCACCUUGCCGUCUAUUUAUAUUGCAUAGAUCGAUCAGAGAUCGGUUACAUGAUAGGACACGACCAGAGAUCAUAUACAGACUAGGAAACGGCUUAAGGCCCGUAUACAACAUGGACUCUACGUCCUGUACACAUACCUAUUCUAACACAUACCCUCAAUCAUAACUUGUCUAUAAGUUAAGAUUGCGCUUGAAUACUUCUAACUGUCUAGUAGCAAGUGCUUUGGUGAAGCCAUCCGCUACCUGGUCGCCGGAGGGAAUAAAUCUGAUCUCAAGAAGCUUGUCUGCAACUCUCUCUCUAACAAAGUGAUAAUCAACCUCAAUAUGUUUAGUCCGAGCAUGAAAUAUUGGGUUAGACGAGAGAUAUGUUGCUCCAAGAUUGUCACACCACAGACAUGCGGCCCUAGGCUGAUUGACUCUGAGCUCCUUGAGAAGUGUUUGGAUCCAAAUGAUCUCAGACGUUGCAUUGACUAGGGAUUUGUACUCCACUUCAGUGCUUGACCUUGACACCGUUGCCUGCUUUCGUGCACUCCAAGAAACAAGAUUGUCACCAAAAUAUACAGCAAAACCACCGGUGGAUCUACGAUCAUCAGGACUACCAGCCCACAUCUGAGAAGGCACUGACAAGAGUAGACUUGGAAUUUGUAAUUUUUAGUCCUACUCCAACCGUACCUCUAACAUAUCGCAGAAUUCUCUUAACUGCAGUCCAAUGUACGCUAGUGGGUGAAUGAAGAAACUGACAAACUUUGUUCACAGCAAAAGCAAUAUCUGGUCUUGUCAAGGUCAAGUACUGCAAUGCUCCCACUAUACUUCUAUAUCUGGUUCCAUCAUCAUCACUGAGCCGGUCACCAUCUUCAAUUGAUAAUUUUUCUGAAACUGAGAGUGGUGUAUCCGAUGGCUUGCAGUGUUGCAUUGCAACUCGCUUCAGAAGGUCAUUAGCAUAUUUCUCCUGUGUCAACAAUAUCCCAUUAUCUUUCCUUUUCACCUCAAUGCCAAGAAAAUAAUGGAGAUUUCCCAAAUCUUUAAGAGCAAAAUCACGUUGCAGAUCUUUGAGCAAGGCGCUAACUACAGAAUCGGACGAACUUGCGACUAUGAUGUCAUCCACAUAAAUAAGAAGGUACAUUGUAAUCCCACCUUGAUUUAUGAAGAACAAUGAUGUGUCCGCCCGCGAAGAGGAAAAUCCUAGAGCCAUUAGUUUUGAGCUGAGUCUAGAAAACCAUGCUCGAGGAGCCUGUUUCAGGCCAUAGAGAGCUUUAUCCAAUUUACAUACAUGUUGUCUCCUAGUCGGAUCUUCAUACCCUGGAGGUUGCCUCAUAUACACAGUCUCUUCUAGAACACCAUGGAGAAACGCGUUCUUCACAUCUAGUUGACGAAGGCUCCAAUUGUUGGACACAGCUAAGGCAAGAAUCAACCGAAUUGUUGCUGCUUUCACAACUGGACUAAAUGUGUCUUCUUAAUCAAUCCCAUAUCUUUGUUUGAAUCCUUUUGCAACCAGUCGUGCUUUGUAUCUGUCAAUCUCUCCAUCAGCUUUCCUUUUUAUUUUGUAGACCCACUUGCAAUCUACUCCCUCCGUCCCAAAAUUCUUGUCUUAGAUUUGUCCAAAUACGGAUGUAUCAAGUCACGUUUUAGUAUUAGGUACAUCCGUAUCUAGACAAAUCUAAGACAAGAAUUUUGGGACAGAGGGGGUAUAAUAUUUGCACCCUUCUGAGCAGGAACAAGGUGCCAAGUAUUAUUUUUCAUCAAUGCCGAAUAUUCCUCAUCCAUAGCUUCCUUCCAAUUUUUAUCCUGAAGAGCUUCGGUGAUACUGCUUGGUUCACCUGUCGUGCACACAUUGCACCACCUAACUCGUCCAUCUGUAAUUACCUUGGGUCUGAAAAUAUUGUUGUGUGAAUGUGUAACAGCACCAUCUAGAACAGAGGGCAGUUGUACAGGUUGGACAAUUUCCUGGACAGAAGAAGCCACAGAAGAUCUAACCUCUUCAUCCGAGGAGGACUGAUCAGCGCAUGAUUCUGAGGGCAUACGUGCAGGAGAUGCACCUGCCCCACGAUUCCCAUGCAUGGGCAUGCUCGGUUGGGCAUGGGAUGGGUUGGCCCCAUGCACAAUACGUGGCUGCUGGUGACUGGGCGUGGGCGCCUGGUUUUCCAGCCUGCCUGCAGAGAGAUAGGAUCCCGCAGCUGCAGGUUCUGCAGGCGCGCGCGAUCCCGAUGUUGUAGGUUCAGACGUGCGCGAUCUCGUCGGUGAUCCCCUGCGGUCUACCUCGCUCUCUGUGCCAUGUGCUUACACAUAAAAUCAUUGCCACCGGAGACACUUUGCAUCAAAUUUGGCUGACAUUUUUCCUGUUCCUGAGUAUUGUCAACACAACCAUCAGGUUCAUUAGUAGGAUUAUUCACAUGAGCAUGCAAAUCAUCACCCCCUUGAUCAGUACUCGUAGGGUUUUGAAGGUUAGAAGGUAAAAGAAGAAUCUCGGCUCUAAGACGGGCUCCGGCAUUGGGAUGUAGUUGGGCAAAAGGGAAAACAGAUUCAUCAAAAACGACAUCACGGGAGAUAUAUAUACGGCCAGAGGAAAUAUCAAGACACUUGUAUCCUUUGUGUUUGUUACUAUAGCCUAGGAAAGCACACCGAAUAGAGCGGAAAGCUAAUUUUCGAGUGUUAUAUGGUCGAAGAUUGGGCCAACAUGCACAACCAAAAACACGAAGAGAAGAAUAAUCAGUUUUUUCAUCAAAGAGUCGUUCAAGGGGAGAAAGCAUAUUGAUGACCCGACUAGGAACACGAUUAAUAAGAUAGACAGCGGAAAGAAAUGCUUCAUCCCAGAACUUAAGAGGCAUAGAGGCAUGAGCAAGCAAUGCAAGUCCAACCUCAACAAUAUGACGAUGCUUUCUCUCGGCGGAACCGUUUUGUUGGUGUGCAUGUGGACAUGAAACAUGAUGAGUAAUGCCGAUACGUUGAAAAAAGGAGUUGAGUUUGUGGUACUCACCACCCCAGUCAGUUUGCAUAGCUAUGAUUUUGGUGUUAAAAAGUCGCUCAACUAAAUGUUGAAAAUCAUGAAAGCAUUGAAACACAUCGGACUUGUUCCGUAAGAGAUAUAUCCAAGUAAAUUUACUAUAAUCAUCGAUGAAGCUUACAUAAUACUUAUUUCGACUAACAGACUCGGGUGCUUGACCCCAAACAUCAGAAAAUACUAGCUCUAAAGGAGCACUAGAUAUACUUGAAGACCUAGGAUACGGAAGUUGAUGACUUUUAGCCUUUUGACAAGAAUCACACACGGACUCACUAGUAGACUCAACGGAACAUGGUAAAUUAUACUUCUUAAGGACUUGUUUGACUAUUGGAGAGGCUGGAUGACCAAGUCGAUCAUGCCAUCUUGUUAGAGACGGCCUUGAAGCACCAAAAACUUGAAUACCGGAGGAAGGAGGUGAGCGAGGCGAUUUCAAUGGAUAAAGACCACGCUCACAUGGGCCGUGC